GACGAACCGUGCGAACGUUGUUCGGAUUCACUGGGCUUAAAGGGCGCGUAGGCGGGUUCUCAAGUCCGGGGUGAAAUCCUCUCGCUCAACGAGAGAAUUGCCCCGGAUACUGGGGACCUCGAGGGAGGUAGGGGCAUGUGGAACUUCCGGUGGAGCGGUGAAAUGCGUAGAUAUCGGAAGGAACGCCGGUGGCGAAAGCGACGUGCUGGACCUCUUCUGACGCUGAGGCGCGAAAGCCAGGGGAGCAAACGGG
This 253-nucleotide ribosomal RNA is filed under the name uncultured bacterium. Its description in RNAcentral is "partial 16S ribosomal RNA". It matches the Rfam family "Bacterial small subunit ribosomal RNA", at positions 524 to 776 of the family's 1533-position model. The record is from RNAcentral.